Molecule: ribosomal RNA, 117 nt
Filed under: uncultured bacterium
Lineage: Bacteria
Description: partial 16S ribosomal RNA
Rfam family: Bacterial small subunit ribosomal RNA
Source: RNAcentral
CUACGGUGAAUACGUUCCCGGACCUUGCACACACCGCCCGUCAAGCCAUGGGAGCCGGGUGUACCUAAAGUCGAUAACCGUAAGGAGUCGCCUAGGGUAAAACUAGUAACUGGGGCU